AACGAACGUUAGCGGCGCGCCUAACACAUGCAAGUCGAGCGAGAAAGGGAGCAAUCCCCGGUACAGCGGCGCACGGGUGAGUAACACGUAGGUAAUCUGCCUUCGAGUGGGGGAUAACCUUCCGAAAGGAGGGCUAAUACCGCAUAAGACCACGACCUCGCGAGGGGAUGAGGUCAAAGCCGGCCACUAUACAUAAGCUGGCGCUUGAAGAUGAGCCUGCGGCCCAUCAGCUAGUUGGUAGGGUAAUGGCCUACCAAGGCGUAGACGGGUAGCUGGUCUGAGAGGAUGAUCAGCCACACUGGAACUGAGACACGGCCCAGACUCCUACGGGAGGCAGCAGUGGGAAUAUUGCGCAAUGGGCGAAAGCCUGACGCAGCGACGCCGCGUGUGGGAUGACGGCC
This 401-nucleotide ribosomal RNA is filed under the name uncultured bacterium. RNAcentral describes it as "bacterial SSU rRNA". It matches the Rfam family "Bacterial small subunit ribosomal RNA", at positions 29 to 416 of the family's 1533-position model. The record is from RNAcentral.